GGAAUAGCCCAGCGCUGAAUCCUUCGGCCACUGGUUGCAAGGAAUUGUAGCGUAUAGGUGCAACUGUUUCGUUUGUUUUCGCUCACCCAAAGUCCCCUUGAGUGGGGCCACAGUCCAUAGAAGGUGCUAGACCUGUACGGGUGGUGAAGUGAACGAUUGUUUGGUUGUUCCUCGGAGUCGAGUUGCCUGAGAUCGCAGCUCAAAGCGGGUGAUAGAUUUCAUCUAAGGCUAAAUAUGGCUACGAAACCGAUAGCAAACAAGUACCGUGAGGGAAAGUUGCAAAGAACUUUGAAGAGAGAGUUCAAGAGGGCGUGAAACCGCUGAGAAGGAAACGGAUAGAGUUGACGAAACACGUUGGCAUUCAAUCGUUGUAACGUUGCGGUGCAUUCACAUGUAAGGCCUACUUACAUCUGUCAAAGGAUGUGGGUAUGGUUGUGAGCAGCACUUGUGUUGUCUUUGUUGGAYCGCAUGCGUUUGCGYACGGUGUAUUUGCCAACGGUAUGCGCUGAGAAGAUCGUUGUGAUGUGCUAAUAGCUAACUUGCUGUAGAGGACCAUACUCUUUGAAUGAGCGUGGAAACUUUGGCUAGCUAUAGRCAUGUUCGCUUAAUGAUCGCUAAUUAUAGCAAUGCAUUCACUCGGCGAGCUUAAAAACGCACAUUUCUUCUGUCGGUUUGUAUGAGAUUGAUGUGGCUACUGAGCGGUCGCUUGWCGACUUGCUUGUAUGCUAACAUUGGUUGAUCGAUGUUGAAUGUGAGUUGGAGUGUUGAAAAAUGCGUCUCAGUGUGAAAGUCGACCACCUAUCCGACCCGUCUUGAAACACGGACCAAGGAGUCUAGCAUAUGCGCAAGUCAUUGGGUGUUAAAAACCUAAAGGCGCAAUGAAAGUAGAGAUCGCUUUAAUGCGGUUGAUAUGGGAUCCUUGUGUGCUUAUGCUAGCGUUGUUAGUAUAAGUAAGCUUGGCGCACCAUAGCCCCGUCUACGUUGCUUGCAAUAGGGCGGAGGUAGAGCGCAUAUGCUGGUACCCGAAAGAUGGUGAACUAUGCCUGAGCAGGAUGAAGCCAGAGGAAACUCUGGUGGAGGUCCGAAGCGGUUCUGACGUGCAAAUCGAUCGUCUGAC
Molecule: ribosomal RNA, 1117 nt
Filed under: Protrelleta floridana
Lineage: Eukaryota; Metazoa; Nematoda; Chromadorea; Rhabditida; Protrelloididae
Description: partial large subunit ribosomal RNA
Source: RNAcentral